GACGAACGCUGGCGGCGUGCCUAAUACAUGCAAGUAGAACGCUGAAGAGAGGAGCUUGCUCUUCUUGAAUGAGUUGCGAACGGGUGAGUAACGCGUAGGUAACCUGCCUUGUAGCGGGGGAUAACUAUUGGAAACGAUAGCUAAUACCGCAUAACAAUGGGUGACACAUGUCAUUUAUUUGAAAGGGGCAAUUGCUCCACUACAAGAUGGACCUGCGUUGUAUUAGCUAGUAGGUGAGGUAACGGCUCACCUAGGCGACGAUACAUAGCCGACCUGAGAGGGUGAUCGGCCACACUGGGACUGAGACACGGCCCAGACUCCUACGGGAGGCAGCAGUAGGGAAUCUUCGGCAAUGGGGGCAACCCUGACCGAGCAACGCCGCGUGAGUAAAGAAGGUUUUCGGAUCGUAAAGCUCUGUUGUAAGUCAAGAAUGAGUGUGAGAGUGGAAAGUUCACACUGUGACGGUAGCUUACCAGAAAGGGACGGCUAACUACGUGC
This 498-nucleotide ribosomal RNA is filed under the name uncultured Streptococcus sp. Its description in RNAcentral is "bacterial SSU rRNA". It matches the Rfam family "Bacterial small subunit ribosomal RNA", at positions 28 to 508 of the family's 1533-position model. The record is from RNAcentral. Lineage: Bacteria; Bacillati; Bacillota; Bacilli; Lactobacillales; Streptococcaceae.